Pseudophryne corroboree (corroboree frog) is the source of this 1960-nucleotide long non-coding RNA. RefSeq lists it as uncharacterized. Lineage: Eukaryota; Metazoa; Chordata; Amphibia; Anura; Myobatrachidae. The transcript has 5 exons. The record is from RefSeq and is a predicted model, not a curated record.
UAGGGGGGAUAAGGGCAAUACAAUAGGAGGGUGAUGAAUGAAGGAUGAGAUAGAGUGGAGAUGAGAAGGGGGGUUAAUAUAGAGGGGGGUAACGGACAAUGUUUGUACCAGAGGACCCUUCGCCAGAGGUCCGGAAGGGCAUCACGGGUGUCUUCCGGUCCGAAUCUCCAGACAGCAGGCAGCGUUUGUUGUUACAGCCAGGCGAGAAGCUGUAGGGCGGUAGUGCAUGCCAGGUGAUCAGGAAGGAGAGUCCAGCAUGUCUGCACAGUAUAGAUUGCGGGGGGGGAUGUUCCCCGCUAGACAGUCUCUCUAAGUGGUAACCUGUCAAGGGGCAUUGUGCAGGAGGCAUGAGGCAAUGGUAGUAGGUGGUGGAGGACAGGGCACAGUUAAUGUUUGCACCCACGGAGCGUCAGUACACAGCCAGAAAGCCAAGUCACUCUCACUCUGUGGCCACACGGCUGUAGGCAGUCAAAGGCAGGAACAAUUGUAGAGAGUGAAGCGAAUAAGGCCGGGGGGUCGCGGCUCUUGGCCCCGUUAGUUCCAAGGUAGCAGCUCCAGGUGAGCAAUCAGAGCGUCAUAGAUUCCAGCCGGGCGCAGAGCAGCCGCAGCGAAUGGGGAUAGGAAGGCGGCCGGCUUCUUAGCACGGAGGAGAAGCCGCGGUGGAUAGACGAUCGUCACUGCUUCACGUUCCCCGCUCGGCACCCGCAGCUCCGGCAUUCAGAUCUUUAUCUAUUGGAUGCAAUUCCGUAGUUACUGGCAAAGCUGAUUAUCAACAUUGCCCGGCUGGUAUAUAGACAGUAACUAGAGAAAACCCCGAAGGUAGAGGCGUUCCAGUCCCUGCCUAAUCUGAAUCACUGGUACAAUACAACAUAUGGUGUCUGAAUAUACAGCGACAGUAUCGAAUAUCCUCAUGAUGUGUAUAGAGAAUAUAAAGCGAUGACACUGACUGCAGAUAAUCUGCUCAUUAUAUCGAUAUGCAGUGCCGUCUGUGCUAUAGCACUCAUUGCAUUCAUUCUAUACAUUUUCAUUCGGUGCCGGAAAAUGUGUAGAAUAGCGGCCGACAUAGAAUCUGCAUUUGCACUUAAGAAAGAUCAAAUGGCAGCACCAUUACCCUCAACCCUACCACCCCCACCCACCUCACUAUCCAUCCCACCUUCAACUUCAUCCCCACUAUCCACACCCUCAGCAUCCCCACUAACCACACCCACAGCAUCCCCUCUCCCCACACCCCGAGCAUCCCCUCUACCCACACCCCCAGUAUCCCCUCUACCCACAUCCCCACUACCCUCUCUCCAACCCGAAUAUGCUUAUCUCAACUGCUCCCCUUCUUCCUACCCCUUAUGCCUUUAUGCAGCUCAGCCCUUUCACUAUAGCCCUUUCCCCUGCCUCAUUAUGUCAGUUAUAUCAGACAUAUAAGCGUAAGGGUUUACCCUUCCCCACUCCCAAACCCCUCCCCAUCACCACCACCUUGUGUGUCGUGUCUGUCUCCUUCCCAUAGAUGUUGACCAACAUCAACAGCUACAAGCUGUCUCCAAACUCCUCACCAUUACCAACACCACCGCUACCUGUUCAAACACCACAGGAGAGAAUAACAGCUAGCAUGAAGACAAUGGCAACAGGCCAAAAGAGCAAAUGCCUGCUGUCAAGAGUUACUGGGCAAUUAAGUUCUGCACUAAGUGGCCUCGAUGUUCCUUGUGGCACAAGCAAGAUGGAGAAAAACAGCCACGUGCUUCUCAUCCUGCAGCCUCUGUUAAUGGCUCCACCCACAAAACUGUAUUUAUUUAUUGAAUGGAUGAUGGCAAUACAAACACUGGUCAUAUAUCCAAUAAUUGGCAGAGAUAAUCCAAUCAUUCCACAGUGCAGAAAGCAGGAAAGAAAAUGAGGAGUAGAUGGAGACACCCCCUCACAGAGUACAGCAACACCAGAAUUUUUAUUUCUAAAUAAAACUAAGUGAAAUGUU